AACGAACGCUGGCGGCAUGCCUAACACAUGCAAGUCGAACGAUGCUUUCGGGCAUAGUGGCGCACGGGUGCGUAACGCGUGGGAAUCUGCCCUUGGGUUCGGAAUAACAGUGAGAAAUUGCUGCUAAUACCGGAUGAUGUCUUCGGACCAAAGAUUUAUCGCCCAGGGUUGAGCCGGCGUAGGAUUAGCCUGUCGGGGGGGUAAUGGCCUACGACGGCGAGGAUCCUUAGCUGGUCUGAGAGAAUGAUCAGCCACACUGGGGCGGGGACGCGGCGGGGAAUCCUACGGGAGGCAGCAGAGGGGAAUAUUGGACAACGGGCUCAAUCAUGAUGCAGCUAUGCUGGGUGAGUGAUGAAGUCGGUAGGGUUGUAAAGCUCUUUUACCCGGGAUGAUAAUGACAGUACCGAGAGAAUAAGCACCGGCUAACUUCGUG
RNAcentral lists this ribosomal RNA (433 nucleotides) under uncultured bacterium. RNAcentral's name for it is "partial 16S ribosomal RNA". It matches the Rfam family "Bacterial small subunit ribosomal RNA", at positions 29 to 507 of the family's 1533-position model. The record is from RNAcentral.